This 253-nucleotide ribosomal RNA is filed under the name uncultured bacterium. RNAcentral's name for it is "partial 16S ribosomal RNA". It matches the Rfam family "Bacterial small subunit ribosomal RNA", at positions 524 to 776 of the family's 1533-position model. The record is from RNAcentral.
UACGUAGGAUGCAAGCGUUGUCCGGAAUUAUUGGGCGUAAAGAGCGAGCAGGCGGUGUACCAAGUCAGAUGUGAAAUAUCCCGGCUUAACCGGGAGGGGCCAUUUGAAACUGGUAGACUAGAGUGGAGCAGAGGACAGUGGAAUUCCUGGUGUAGCGGUGAAAUGCGCAGAUAUCAGGAGGAACACCGGUGGCGAAGGCGGGUCUCUGGGCAACAACUGACGCUGAGGAGCGAAAGCGUGGGGAGCGAACAGG